UGGUGGAGCGAUUUGUCUGGUCAAUACCGAUAACGAACGAGACUCUAGCCUACUAAAUAGUUCGGGGACCCCCACAAAGGGGCCCCGCUUCAACUUCUUAGAGGGACAGGUGGCGUUUAGCCACACGAGAUUGAGCAAUAACA
Molecule: ribosomal RNA, 143 nt
Filed under: uncultured eukaryote
Lineage: Eukaryota
Description: partial 18S ribosomal RNA
Rfam family: Eukaryotic small subunit ribosomal RNA
Source: RNAcentral